AUGGCAGAGAACCCGGCUGCUGCUGCAGUUAAUCACGGCGAAGGCCUCCGGCUACCGGAGACGUCGUCGAUAUGCGUCACGGAGAGCGCCGCACACAACUUCGAGGUGACCAAUUAUGCGCUGCUCCAGGGCCUGGGCGUCGGGAAGUACAUCACCUCAAGCACAUUCAGGGUCGGCGGCUACGAUUGGAAUAUCAUGUUCUACCCGGACGGAAGCAGGAAGGACUUUGCCGGCAACGCGUCAGCCUUUUUGUGUUGUCUCAGUAAGGGGAAGGACGAGGUGAGGACAAAAUUCACCUUAACCCUGCUGGACGGUCAAGGCAAUGCACAGGAAAUCAACAAGGAUUACGUAGCAGCGCACAUCUUUUCUCUGGAAGCUCCGAACAUGGGCUUCCCGAAAUUCGCAGAGAAAUCCAAGCUGAAAUCCUCAUCUCACCUCCUGACUAUACGGUGCGUUCUCACCGUGAUCAAGGAACCGCCCACGGAGUGCCGAAAAAAUCUCAUCGUAGUUCCACCGUCAAAGCUGCCCGGCAACAUCGAGCGCACCCUCAAGGACGGGAAGGGCGCAGACGUCACGCUGCUCGUGGGCGGCAGGGAGUUCAGUGCGCACAGGUUCAUGCUAGCCGCACAGUCGCCGGUUUUCGACGCACAGCUCUUUGGCCCGAUGAUGGACGAGGACACGCGGUGCAUAGAGGUUGUCGACAUGGACCCGCCCAUCUUUGAGAUGCUUCUUCACUACAUCUACAUGGAUUCGCUGCCCCCGUGUGACGAGAAAGGUUGCGAUGCUGCUUCCAUGCAGCACUUGCUAGUCGCGGCAGAUCGGUACGGGCUGGAUAGGCUCAAGGUGAUGUGUGAAGAGGAGCUGUCGAAAAGCAUCAACGUCCACACCGUCACGAGUACAUUGGCGGUUGCGGAUCAGCACUUCUGCGAGGGGCUCAAGAAUGCUUGUGAGGAGUUUCUUUCAGCGCCGGGAAUAGGGGCCAUUGUGUCUUUAAGAAACGGGUUCAAACGCAUGAUGGCAAAGCUAGAAUCCAGGGGCAAGGAGGAGGCAUCUGGCACGCUGACCAAGUAA
Molecule: ribosomal RNA, 1071 nt
Filed under: Triticum aestivum (bread wheat)
Lineage: Eukaryota; Viridiplantae; Streptophyta; Magnoliopsida; Poales; Poaceae
Description: partial small subunit ribosomal RNA
Source: RNAcentral